UGGGGUGUGACUCAGUGGUAGAGCAUUUGCCUAACACAGGUGAGACCCUGGGUUCAAUCCUCAGCACCUCAU
RNAcentral lists this transfer RNA (72 nucleotides) under Ictidomys tridecemlineatus (thirteen-lined ground squirrel). RNAcentral's name for it is "Spermophilus tridecemlineatus (thirteen-lined ground squirrel) tRNA". It matches the Rfam family "tRNA". From Rfam's summary of the family: Transfer RNA (tRNA) molecules are approximately 80 nucleotides in length. Their secondary structure includes four short double-helical elements and three loops (D, anti-codon, and T loops). Further hydrogen bonds mediate the characteristic L-shaped molecular structure. tRNAs have two regions of fundamental functional importance: the anti-codon, which is responsible for specific mRNA codon recognition, and the 3' end, to which the tRNAs corresponding amino acid is attached (by aminoacyl-tRNA synthetases). tRNAs cope with the degeneracy of the genetic code in two manners: having more than one tRNA (with a specific anti-codon) for a particular amino acid; and 'wobble' base-pairing, i.e. permitting non-standard base-pairing at the 3rd anti-codon position. The record is from Rfam by way of RNAcentral. Lineage: Eukaryota; Metazoa; Chordata; Mammalia; Rodentia; Sciuridae.